GACGAACGCUGGCGGCGUGCCUAACACAUGCAAGUCGAACGGAAAGGCCCUGCUUUUGUGGGGUGCUCGAGUGGCGAACGGGUGAGUAACACGUGUGUAACCUCCCCUUGACUUUGGGAUAUCUUCAGGAAACUCGGGUGAAUACCGGAUAGGAGCCCCCGCUGCAUGUUGGGUGUUGGAAAGUUUCGGCGGUUGGGGCUGGACUGGCGGGUUAUCAGCUUGUUUGUGGGGUAGUGGCUUACGACGGCUUUGACGGGUAGCCGGCCUGAGAGGGGGAACGGGCACAUUGGGACUGAGGGACGGCCCAGACGCGUACGGGAGGCAGCGGUGGGGAAUAUGGCAGAAUGAGGGGGAGCCAGAGGCGGCAGCGCCGCGUGCGGGAAGACGGCCUUCGGGUGAUAAACCGCUUUCGCAGGAAACGAAGCGUGAGUGACGGUAAUGAGUAAAGAAGCACCGGCUAACUACGUG
RNAcentral lists this ribosomal RNA (468 nucleotides) under uncultured bacterium. RNAcentral's name for it is "partial 16S ribosomal RNA". It matches the Rfam family "Bacterial small subunit ribosomal RNA", at positions 28 to 507 of the family's 1533-position model. The record is from RNAcentral.